RNAcentral lists this ribosomal RNA (253 nucleotides) under uncultured bacterium. Its description in RNAcentral is "partial 16S ribosomal RNA". It matches the Rfam family "Bacterial small subunit ribosomal RNA", at positions 524 to 776 of the family's 1533-position model. The record is from RNAcentral.
UACGAAGGGGGCUAGCGUUGCUCGGAAUUACUGGGCGUAAAGCGCACGUAGGCGGCUUUCUAAGUCGGGGGUGAAAUCCUGGAGCUCAACUCCAGAACUGCCUUCGAUACUGGAGAGCUCGAGUCCGGGAGAGGUGAGUGGAACUGCGAGUGUAGGGGUGAAAUUCGUAGAUAUUCGCAAGAACACCAGUGGCGAAAGCGGCUUCCUGGUCCAGCACCGACGUUCAGGCACGAAAGCGUGGGGAGCAAACAGG